GUGCUCACUUUAGCAGCACAUAUGCUAAAAUUGAAAUGAUACAGAGUAGAUUAGCAUGGCCCCUGCACAAGGAUGACAUACAAAUUUGUGAAGUGUUCCAUUAUUUU
This 107-nucleotide small nuclear RNA is filed under the name Jaculus jaculus (lesser Egyptian jerboa). The record is from RNAcentral. Lineage: Eukaryota; Metazoa; Chordata; Mammalia; Rodentia; Dipodidae.